This 404-nucleotide ribosomal RNA is filed under the name uncultured Gluconobacter sp. RNAcentral describes it as "bacterial SSU rRNA". It matches the Rfam family "Bacterial small subunit ribosomal RNA", at positions 87 to 524 of the family's 1533-position model. The record is from RNAcentral. Lineage: Bacteria; Pseudomonadati; Pseudomonadota; Alphaproteobacteria; Acetobacterales; Acetobacteraceae.
CGGGAUUAGUGGCGGACGGGUGAGUAACGCGUAGGGAUCUAUCCAUGGGUGGGUGACAACUCCGGGAAACUGGAGCUAAUACCGCAUGAUACCUCAGGGUCAAAGGCGCAAGUCGCCUGUGGAGGAACCUGCGUUCGAUUAGCUAGUUGGUGGGGUAAAGGCCUACCAAGGCGAUGAUCGAUAGCUGGUCUGAGAGGAUGAUCAGCCACACUGGGACUGAGACACGGCCCAGACUCCUACGGGAGGCAGCAGUGGGGAAUAUUGGACAAUGGGCGAAAGCCUGAUCCAGCAAUGCCGCGUGUGUGAAGAAGGGCUUCGGAUUGUAAAGCACUUUCGACGGGGACGAUGAUGACGGUACCCGUAGAAGAAGCCCCGGCUAACUUCGUGCCAGCAGCCGCGGUAAU